GACGAACGCUGGCGGCGUGCUUAACACAUGCAAGUCGAACGGAAAGGCCCUGCUUUUGUGGGGUGCUCGAGUGGCGAACGGGUGAGUAACACGUGAGUAACCUGCCCUUGACUUUGGGAUAACUUCAGGAAACUGGGGCUAAUACCGGAUAGGAGCUCCUGCUGCAUGGUGGGGGUUGGAAAGUUUCGGCGGUUGGGGAUGGACUCGCGGCUUAUCAGCUUGUUGGUGGGGUAGUGGCUGACCAAGGCUUUGACGGGUAGCCGGCCUGAGAGGGUGACCGGCCACAUUGGGACUGAGAUACGGCCCAGACUCCUACGGGAGGCAGCAGUGGGGAAUAUUGCACAAUGGGCGGAAGCCUGAUGCAGCAACGCCGCGUGCGGGAUGACGGCCUUCGGGUUGUAAACCGCUUUCGCCUGUGCCGAAGCGUGAGUGACGGUAAUGGGUAAAGAAGCACCGGCUAACUACGUG
This 468-nucleotide ribosomal RNA is filed under the name uncultured bacterium. RNAcentral's name for it is "partial 16S ribosomal RNA". It matches the Rfam family "Bacterial small subunit ribosomal RNA", at positions 28 to 507 of the family's 1533-position model. The record is from RNAcentral.